This is a non-coding RNA of Cricetulus griseus (Chinese hamster), 214 nucleotides long. The record is from RefSeq and is a predicted model, not a curated record. NCBI's taxonomy places the organism in Eukaryota, Metazoa, Chordata, Mammalia, Rodentia, Cricetidae.
ACACUUUGUGUUUUGUUUUAGUGCCUGCUUUGCAGUCUCCUGCUUGCUGAUUGCAUAUGGAGCAAGUAACCCAGACUCGCUCUCCGUGCUCAUCUUCAUCGCCUUGGCUCUGAAUGGCUUUGGGGGGAUGUGUAUGACGUUCACUUCAUUAACGGUAAGUAUUGGUUUGUUAAGGAACGUUUUUCAGCCGAGUAAAUGGUACAUUUGAGGCAUA